This 322-nucleotide ribosomal RNA is filed under the name uncultured bacterium. RNAcentral describes it as "bacterial SSU rRNA". It matches the Rfam family "Bacterial small subunit ribosomal RNA", at positions 794 to 1116 of the family's 1533-position model. The record is from RNAcentral.
UCCACGCCGUAAACGAUGAAUACUAGGUGUCGGGGGUCGAACCUCGGUGCCGCAGCUAACGCAUUAAGUAUUCCGCCUGGGGAGUACGGUCGCAAGACUGAAACUCAAAGGAAUUGACGGGGACCCGCACAAGCAGCGGAGCAUGUGGUUUAAUUCGAAGCAACGCGAAGAACCUUACCAAGUCUUGACAUCCUCUUGACCAUCGUUUAACCAUGAUUUUUCCUUCGGGAACAAGAGUGACAGGUGGUGCAUGGUUGUCGUCAGCUCGUGUCGUGAGAUGUUGGGUUAAGUCCCGCAACGAGCGCAACCCUUGUCUUUAGUU